CAAGAUCCAGUCCUUAAAACAAAAGACUUUGACUCCUCCCUGGUGGUUUUGCCUCUCGGGUUAAAGUCCUGAUGGAGUUAAACAUACAGAAUUUAAAGCCGACAAUAACCUGGAUGUAUCUUUCCCACUAUGUGACCUGAGGCAAAGUAUCUGCCCACUAGAAUGAGCCUCUUCUAGGAAUAUUGCAAUACGACAAAGGCUUUAGUCGGGGAUAAAAGCAAGUUAACGGGAGUGUCCUCAACCACCUCUGGCCUUACUAAGGUCACAUCACAAAGGCCAAGCGCUGACCACGUUCCUGACAUUGGUGGAUCUUGUGUCUAAAGUGGCAAGUCCGAAGGAAGACUGCAGAAGGCCAGAGUCCAGACAAGGAGGCCAGCCGGGCAAAGAGGCUGAAUCAGAAGCCAACGAGACUCCCAAGACUUCCAGGCUGGAGCGGAAAGGAAGUGUUUUGCUGCUAGAGGCAAGGCAGGAAACAGAACAGACCUGUGUUAGGUGUGAGCCAGUGGAGGCCCUGGAGGAGCCGGGGAGGCGAGAGUAGGCUGCAGGCCUAUGGUGGGCCUCUGUGGAACCCGUGCUUCCUCUCUGCCCUACAGAGCAUGUGUGUCUCCCAGGACUGCGGUGCUGGAGGGCAUGGGGAGGGCCAGAAGGUCCUUUAUCCCGGUAACAACCAGACUUUGGUCUUCAGUGUUCCUUGGAAGCUGCUUGGAGGGUGGGUAUCUUGUU
This is a long non-coding RNA of Mus caroli (Ryukyu mouse), 723 nucleotides long. RefSeq lists it as uncharacterized. Lineage: Eukaryota; Metazoa; Chordata; Mammalia; Rodentia; Muridae. The record is from RefSeq and is a predicted model, not a curated record.